AAAUGGGCAGAGAGGGAGAAAUAGAUAAAUGGGCAGAGAGGGAGGGAGAAAUAGAUAAAUGGGCAGAGAGGGAGAGGGAGAAAUAGAUAAAUGGGCAGAGAGGGAGGGAGAAAUAGAUAAAUGGCCAGAGAGGGAGAAAUAAAUAAAUGGGCAGAGAGGGAGAAAUAGAUAAAUGUGCAGAGAGGGAGAGGGAGAAAUAGAUAAAUGUGCAGAGAGGGAGAAAUAGAUAAAUGGGCAGAGAGGGAGAAAUAGAUAAAUGGGCAGAGAGGUAGAAAUAGAUAAAUGGGCAGAGAGGGAGAGGGAAAUAGAUAAAUGGGCAGAGAGGGAGAAAUAGAUAAAUGGGCAGAGAGAGGGAAAUAGAUAAAUGGGCAGAGAGGGAGAAAUAGAUAAAUGGGCAGAGAGGGAGAGGGAAAUAGAUAAAUGGGCAGAGAGGGAGAAAUAGAUAAAUGGGCAGAGAGGGAGAAAUAGAUAAAUGGGCAGAGAGGGAGGGAGAAAUAGAUAAAUGGGCAGAGAGGGAGAAAUAAAUAAAUGGGCAGAGAGGGAGAAAUAGAUAAAUGUGCAGAGAGGGAGAGGGAGAAAUAGAUAAAUGUGCAGAGAGGGAGAAAUAGAUAAAUGGGCAGAGAGGGAGAAAUAGAUAAAUGGGCAGAGAGGUAGAAAUAGAUAAAUGGGCAGAGAGGGAGAGGGAAAUAGAUAAAUGGGCAGAGAGGGAGAAAUAGAUAAAUGGGCAGAGAGAGGGAAAUAGAUAAAUGGGCAGAGAGGGAGAAAUAGAUAAAUGGGCAGAGAGGGAGAGGGAAAUAGAUAAAUGGGCAGAGAGGUAGAAAUAGAUAAAUGGGCAGAGAGGGAGAAAUAGAUAAAUGGGCAGAGAGGGAGAAAUAGAUAAAUGGGCAGAGAGGUAGAAAUAGAUAAAUGGGCAGAGAGUGAGAAAUAGAUAAAUGGGCAGAGAGGUAGAAAUAGAUAAAUGGGCAGAGAGGGAGAGGGAAAUAGAUAAAUGGGCAGAGAGGGAGGGAGAAAUAGAUAAAUGGGCAGAGAGGGAGAAAUAAAUAAAUGGGCAGG
Long non-coding RNA from Oncorhynchus keta (chum salmon), 1053 nucleotides. RefSeq lists it as uncharacterized. The transcript is spliced from 3 exons. NCBI's taxonomy places the organism in Eukaryota, Metazoa, Chordata, Actinopteri, Salmoniformes, Salmonidae. The record is from RefSeq and is a predicted model, not a curated record.